Molecule: ribosomal RNA, 312 nt
Filed under: uncultured eukaryote
Lineage: Eukaryota
Description: partial large subunit ribosomal RNA
Rfam family: Eukaryotic large subunit ribosomal RNA
Source: RNAcentral
AUAUAAUUAAGUGGUGGAAAAGAAACUAACAAGAAUUCCCUUAGUAAUGGCGAAUGAACAGGGAAGAGCUCAAAAUGAAAAUCAACGGCUCUUGCUGUUGAAUUGUAGUCUCAAGAAGUGUUACCAGUAAAGGCGCAGGGAUAAGCCUCUUGGAAAAGAGCAUCCGUGAAGGUGAAAAUCCUGUUCAUGCUCUGCAGACCUUUACGUACGGUACAUUUUCAAUGAGUCGCGUUCCUUGGAAGUGGAGCGCUAAAUGGAAGGUAAAUUUCUUCUAAAGCUAAAUAUUUGUGGGAGACCGAUAGCGCACAAGUA